This 368-nucleotide ribosomal RNA is filed under the name Schizothrix arenaria 04233-00002. Its description in RNAcentral is "bacterial LSU rRNA". It matches the Rfam family "Bacterial large subunit ribosomal RNA", at positions 2098 to 2465 of the family's 2925-position model. Lineage: Bacteria; Bacillati; Cyanobacteriota; Cyanophyceae; Leptolyngbyales; Schizotrichaceae. The record is from RNAcentral.
GCUUUACUGUAGCCUGGGAUUGGGUUCGGGCUUUGCCUGCGCAGGAUAGGUGGGAGACUAUGAAGCAUUGCUUGUGGGCAAUGUGGAGUCAACGGUGAGAUACCACUCUGGCAAGGCUAGGAUUCUAACCUUCACCCGUUAACCGGGGAGGGGACACUUUCAGGUGGGCAGUUUGACUGGGGCGGUCGCCUCCUAAAAGGUAACGGAGGCGCACAAAGGUUCCCUCAGGUUGGUUGGAAAUCAACCGGAGAGUGCAAAGGCAGAAGGGAGCUUGACUGUGAGACAGACAAGUCAAACAGGGUGGAAACACGGUCUUAGUGAUCCGACGGUAGUGCGUGGAAGCGCCGUCGCUCAACGGAUAAAAGUUA